CUUUCACAGCUCGAGGAACACCGAGCUGCCACCGCGUGGACCUGCACAGGUGGCCGCACUUCGUGCAACAGCAGGAAACCUCUCCUGAAGGGUCUGGCCUCAGGGCAGCGAAAGCAGCUACGGAAACGGGAGUUCGGAAGACCCUCCCACCCCAAAUCCCCCUUGUCCACCCUCGCUGCCCCGCGCAGCCCAGCCCUGCCAGCAGCCGCUGAUGGGCACGUCGCAACCCGCGCCUUUGCCAGGGCUGAAUCACCCUGCGCUUGGAGAGCUUCUCCCACCGUCUUUCCAAAAUCUCUGUUAGUGUAAUUUCUUCUCUGUCCCCAAAGGGCACGAAGAGCAGUUUAUUGUUGUACACUGUGGCAGUCUGUUAUAUACUGAAAGCUUUAUUCACCUCCCUUGCUUCCCUCUGCAUUUGGCAGCGCCAGUCCGCCCAGCUUGUCCCCGUGGGUCACAACACCGAGCUCCACCAUCCCUGCUGGCACGGCACAUCCACACAUCUCCCAUAGCCUCCAUGUCCCACACUGCUCCCAUAGGAGGCUGCCACUGUUGACUCAUGUACCCCAAUGGCUGAGUUUUUGCCCUAAAGAAACAGAGUUUGUCCCAGGCACGGUGCCAGCUCCCUGCUGCAUCCUGGAUCUCAUAAGAACAAGAUGCUUCCUACUGUCCGCAUUCCCAUGGGUACACUUUCUGGGCAAAAGUGAAGAAAAAACAGCAGUUAAGCCAAUGCGUUUCCUCCUUGGCCAGCCUGAUCCACCUCCUGGGGCCAACGGAGGCUAUGAGAGCCAUGAUUCAUUGUGCCCGUUUUGUAUUUGUUUCCUCUCAGUGUUGUGGUGUAAGCAUUCAAUAAAAAAUGUGGCACAUUUAAUGGGUGGAGAAAUGGCAGACCCUGGGCAGCAACAGCCAUGGGGAGGAUCUUUAAUCUCUGCUGGCACACUGCAUAUACCCAGCAACAGCUAGGAAGGUUCGGUUGUCUCAAAUUGCACUUGCAGUCAACAUUACACAUGCAAGUCUACACACAGCCCCAGCUAAAUCAAAAAUAAAAGGCGGAUCCCUUUUUGUUUUGCUGGAAAAUUCUGUGUCACUGGGUUGCAGCACAAGGAAAUAAAAUCUCACUCGAGGCCAGGAUUCUGCCUAGGGAAGGGCUCAGCACAGAGCCUGUCAGACACAUUUUCCUCACCUUCUGCCCUCGCAGGUGGUGGGUGCAGGCUGGCACCUUACUCCUGUCAGUUGGAGCAGAAUGAGGGCUGGAACUGGGCUUGCUGGCAGCUCAGCAGAGGAAUGCAUUCAGCAGCAGGCAGGUGAGUGUCCACAUCUAGGCAAUUAACACCCAGACAAUCCCUGUGAACGGCAUCCCAACAGGGUGAUGUAUGCUGCCGCUGGCUUUGGCUCCUUGCAAGUAGAAAAUGGGAAAGAAAAUGGGCAAAGAGGAACCUGUAUACUUUAAAGCUUAACAAAACCAGACUAUGUGAAUGACUUAUCUCCCCCAGCCUCUUGUGAUCAUCUCGCUUAAGGUCAGAAAAGCCCAUCAGCUCUGAUAACCCAGCAAACAAGGACAUCCUCUCCUGAUGAAAAGGCAGCUCUUGGAGUCCCACAGGCUGCACUACAGCAUGUGGGGAACAUGAGGCCUUUGCUGCUGCUACAGAACCUGCCAGCAGCUGAAAACCACUUUGUCAGGAGGUUAAGUUCACAGUGCAACCGCAACAUCUUUAAAUAUCUGCUGCUGCAGCAGCAGCAUCUUGCUGGAAGAGAACUCCAGUCCUGUCCACGCUGCAAGCUGUAAAGUGGCUGGGCUAACACUGAGCACAGCUCAGGUGUUCCUGGGCAAGCUGUCAGGAGCACGCAGGGACACGGAGGAUGUACUUCUCCAUGAGGACCCGUAUUUCUCCACAAGGACCUGCAGUUAAUUCUUUACAAGCUCAUUUCCUGAAGGCCAGACGUCCCACAGCCACACUGCUGGAGGAGGAGAUCAUCCCUGGGUCACAGCCAGCAGCCUGGGAGCUCAGGGAUGAGCAGGAGGGAUUCCCUUGGAUGAGAGAAGCGUUCUCCAGCCCAGGCCCGUGGCAAGAAACGCUUCCUUGCAGGGCUAUGUUUUAUUUCCCACACAUCCACAGUUCUUCAGACUAGCAGGGUUAGUGGUACCCACAUCUUUUGGGAUAACGUUCCUUUGGGACAACAAAGUCGGUGGCCAUCUUCUGAAGAUUCUUGGGUAUACAUCUUCCACAGGAAGGGGAAUGGCUCUGUGCUGUGGCAGUGAUGGCACUUCGUCCAGCUGUCGGCAGCUGCCAUCGGUGAUAUGCAAACAGAGCUACUCUCACUGCUCUGUGCUGUAACACAAAGGGCUCACUGAAGGAUUAUUUGGGUUGGCAGCACUGCCACCAACUUAUGAAAUCCUGAAAGCACAAACAGAAAGCAGUGAAGUAACACAGUCAGGAAAACACAGAAUUUCAACACAGAAAGUGCCUCCUGCAGAGAGAGGGAAGAAGCAGCAGCUCCAGCAUCACUUUACCUGCAGCUGGUGCAUGUGUCUGCAGAGAUGUAGGAGCCUGG
Molecule: long non-coding RNA, 2547 nt
Organism: Gallus gallus (chicken)
Lineage: Eukaryota; Metazoa; Chordata; Aves; Galliformes; Phasianidae
Source: Ensembl